Molecule: long non-coding RNA, 1390 nt
Filed under: Zostera marina
Lineage: Eukaryota; Viridiplantae; Streptophyta; Magnoliopsida; Alismatales; Zosteraceae
Description: long non-coding RNA (ZMAR_LNC000542)
Source: RNAcentral
UUUCAACACACUCAACCGACCGCCGGUCACUCCACUACACAAUGUACAACCGAUGUCAGCAUGUACUAUCGCCGGUCAGUGUCUACCACGACUGCCAAAAACUAGGCUACAGAGGUUCUUUUUCUAAACAACGACUAGAAUUUAAUGUGAUUAAUUGGACGGCUACGAUCGAAGAUCGCAGAUAGUGCGCAUACAAGGGUUCGCACUAGAAGCGCUCUGUAUAUAUAUAAAAACAUCUGUAAAACUCAACGAUGAACUCUAAGACUUCUAAAUACAUUGAUUUUAAUAAUAAAAAAAAUGAAUAAAUAGGGCUCAUCGGAUUAAGGUUUUGAACAUAUAUUAUUUAGAAUACAGAAUGAAUAAUCAAAAAUUAAGAAUAAGAUUAAAUCUGAAGUAAGAAUAAGAUCAGAAAUUAAGAAUAAAAAAUUUAUGUAUUAGAAUAAAGAAAUUAAGAAUAAGAUUGCAUCAAAAAUUAAAAAUAAUAUCAGAAAUUAAAAAUAAGAAAUUUCUGUAUUAGAAAACAGAAAUUAAGGCUAAGAUUAGUUCUCCUAACUCAUAGCAACCUAAAGCGUUGAAAACUAAUCAAAAUGAAUGAUCAGGAGAUUGCUUUAAUUGAAUACAACACAAUAAGAAGAAGAAUGAAGAAGAAAAAUAGAUGACCAUUGUGGAACGAUUCUGAAUAACACAAAAAAAAAUUGAUUGAUUAAUAACACCAACCCCAUGAAUAGCUGAUUGAAAAAAGAUAGACUAUUUACCUACCACUGAAUUGGUUUUAAACACUGAACUGGUUUCAUUCUAGGGUAACAUACAAAGCAGUAACCUACUAUUGGUUUCAUUCUCAAGGGAAGUCUGAAAUUGAACUCACAAAGUCUAAAUUUCAGAACAGAGAUUGAACUCACAAAGUUCUUCCCCGGAUCUGAAAUCCAUACUUCCCCUUCACCAGCACUUCCCCUGGAUUUCAGAACUAUUUAAGUCUAGAAUGAACUCACAAAGUCUGGAUUUCAGUAUGAAUGAUCAGGAGAUUUAUUUAAUUGAAUACAACACAUUAAGAAGAAGAAGAAAAACAGAAUUAACCUCUAGAAACCUUGGAACCUCUAGAAAAGAACCCAACUACAGAACGAUUCUGGAAACCUCUAGAACCUCUAGAAACCCUAGAACCUCGGAACCUCUGGAACGAUUCUGGAAACCCAACGACGGUUUGCGCGUGAGAAUCAAGGUUUAAGAAGAAUGUGAAAUAAGAUUGAGAAGAUUGAGAAUCAGGGGGUUUGCGUGCGAGAAGAUUGAGAAGAAAUAAGAAUCAGGGGCUGGAGUGGAGCUUGAAAUUUUUUCGGGAGAAGAUUGAGAAGAAUGAUUUGGGAUUUAGGUAUAAGGGUUUACGAUUUGGUACAAG